This is a long non-coding RNA of Clarias gariepinus (North African catfish), 707 nucleotides long. RefSeq lists it as uncharacterized. NCBI's taxonomy places the organism in Eukaryota, Metazoa, Chordata, Actinopteri, Siluriformes, Clariidae. The transcript is spliced from 2 exons. The record is from RefSeq and is a predicted model, not a curated record.
UACCUGUCCAUCUACCCCAGGGUGUGGCUACAGCAUAAAUUCAGACAGAGUAGAGAGUUUCUUCAGAGGUGAACUUGUCAAGGCAACAGUUUCAGUGCUAUCACAUCACUCCUGAGAACAAUGGCAGAUACAAACCCAAGUAAGUCAUUUUGCAAAAUAUCACAUUUUUAUCCGUAACUGUUUCUAAAAUAAGCUUCUGUUUAUUCAUUUAAAAACAUGCUGUUGUUUCUCUUUUUGCAUGAAAAGCUGCUCAGGUAACUGCUUAACUUGUUUCCUUAUGAUAAAUAUGAUAUACAGUACUGUAGACAUGUAAGAAUAGCAUCCUAUGCUUUGAGAACUUUGAAGCUCAUGUAUAUUUCUGCUGCAGUGCGGUGAAAGCAAAUGCCAGGGUGAAGGCAAGGAAAAAGGGAAAGGCCAGGAGCAUGGACAUGGACAUGGACCAGGUCAGGGCAAGGGGAAAGAACAUGGAAAAGGACAUGGUCAGGGCCACGGUCACGGACAUGGUCAUGGUGGAAAAGAUGGCGCAAAGAAAGGAAACGAGGGCCCGCACUAACAACAAUGCUGAAUGAAGAGAUAUCUGAGACUGAUUAUCUUUCUCUUGUGCAAAAAUCAAUGAUAAAAUAAAACAUGUAUAACCAGCCAUAUAUAUUUGCAUUAAAUUCACUGAUGACCAAUGAAAUGUUUGUAUUAAAGACCGGCUUUUAGAA